Non-coding RNA from Arabis alpina (gray rockcress), 73 nucleotides. NCBI's taxonomy places the organism in Eukaryota, Viridiplantae, Streptophyta, Magnoliopsida, Brassicales, Brassicaceae. The record is from Rfam.
GGGGACAUAGCUCAGUUGGUAGAGCGCUCGCUUUGCAUGCGAGAGGUCCAGGGUUCGAUUCCCUGUCUCUCCA